Molecule: ribosomal RNA, 468 nt
Filed under: uncultured bacterium
Lineage: Bacteria
Description: partial 16S ribosomal RNA
Rfam family: Bacterial small subunit ribosomal RNA
Source: RNAcentral
GACGAACGCUGGCGGCGUGCUUAACACAUGCAAGUCGAACGGAAAGGCCCUGCUUUUGUGGGGUGCUCGAGUGGCGAACGGGUGAGUAACACGUGAGUAACCUGCCCUGGACUUUGGGAUAACUUCAGGAAACUGGGGCUAAUACCGGAUAGGAGCUCCUGCUGCAUGGUGGGGGUUGGAAAGUUUCGGCGGUUGGGGAUGGACGCGCGGCUUAUCAGCUUGUUGGUGGGGUAGUGGCUUACCAAGGCUUUGACGGGUAGCCGGCCUGGGAGGGUGAACGGCCACAUUGGGACUGCGAUACGGACCAGACUCCUACGGGAGGCAGCAGUGGGGAAUAUUGCACAAUGGGCGGACGCCUGAUGCAGCAACGCCGCGUGCGGGAUGACGGCCUUCGGGUUGUAAACCGCUUUAGCCUGUGACGAAGCGUGAGUGACGGUAAUGGGUAAAGAAGCACCGGCUAACUACGUG